UCGCAAGUGCGUACGACUCUUGAAUAUUAGUUGACGCACGAUUUUCGUUUGUUUUCGUUCAGUGCUUUCAGUCUCGGAGUAUUUUCGUCGGUGGACUCGUGAUCUUCUGACCCGUUGGUUAAUGCGAUCGGGAUUUUAAAUGAGAUUUUUCUUGCUUCGAACUUUCGUGGAUUUUCACGCGAGUGGAAGUUCGAGUUAAUUUUUUUUUAAUCCAUCACAGUUCGAAAAUAACAAAAUUGCAAAUAUAUAAAUUUGUGCUGAGAAUUUUUUAUUCACUCACGAACCAUGUUCGGAUUCAUCCCCCUUAAAAUAUGAAUCGCCCCAGUCGAAACGUCUCUUCCCAAAUGAAAUGCAAAAAUCGCGAUCCCAGUCGCCGGAAAUGAGCUGUUGGAUUCGUUCAAAUAGCCUAGUGCCGGAAGUGAACGGUUUCUAUACGAAACAGCAUUGCGAUGACACCGCUUAGCGAUUGGCUCCCAAAUACGGUUGAACCUCCGCACUGUCUAUUCACCAACAAGCUAAUAAGGACACGCGUAACAUAAAUCUACGAGUGUCUCGAUUCUGUACCAGACGCGGAUCGUACUCAUGAGUAUUUUAAUAAUCGUCGUCAGUGAACGUCGGUAAGUUAUUUGUCCGAAGCUGAGACAAUUUGCAAAAUUGCCCCACCGAUGAUGUUCGGCCGCAUGUAUACGCAUGCAUGAGAAUGAUUAUUCAUCAAGCGUUUGAAAAGGCCUGCGUGGCGAGUGACUCGAUCGGUAGGAAGGACGAGGAGAGACACGGAGGAGGAUUUUUCUUCAAUGAGAUUCAAGCUGCAUGGUUUAACAUGGCAACAUUGCAUCGCCUGUAGCGAAACUCCUUAAGGAAGUUGAGGCUGUACAGUCAUUUUUUUUACCCAAAAGUGAUGACCUGUACCUUUCAAAAAUUAGGCCAGUUUACAGUUUGGCAAUGUCGCAUACACUUUAAAGAAAAG
Molecule: long non-coding RNA, 967 nt
Organism: Venturia canescens
Lineage: Eukaryota; Metazoa; Arthropoda; Insecta; Hymenoptera; Ichneumonidae
Exons: 3
Source: RefSeq, a predicted model, not a curated record